Molecule: ribosomal RNA, 322 nt
Filed under: uncultured bacterium
Lineage: Bacteria
Description: bacterial SSU rRNA
Rfam family: Bacterial small subunit ribosomal RNA
Source: RNAcentral
AAUGAACGCUGGCGGCGUGCCUUAUACAUGCAAGUCGAGCGCGAAAGUGACCUUCGGGUCGCGAGUAGAGCGGCGAACGGGUGAGUAACAGGUGGGUAAUCUGCCCUAGAGUGGGGAACAACUUGGGGAAACUCGAGCUAAUACCGCAUACGUCCGUGGGAUUACGAUCCUGCGGGGAAAGACAGCCUCUUCUUGAAAGCUGUCGCUCUUGGAUGAGCCCGCCCCGGAUUAGCUAGUUGGUGGGGUAAUGGCCUACCAAGGCAACGAUCUGUAGCCGGCCUGAGAGGGCGAUCGGCCACAUUGGAACUGAGACACGGUCCAG